This 405-nucleotide ribosomal RNA is filed under the name uncultured bacterium. RNAcentral describes it as "partial 16S ribosomal RNA". It matches the Rfam family "Bacterial small subunit ribosomal RNA", at positions 28 to 526 of the family's 1533-position model. The record is from RNAcentral.
GAUGAACGCUGGCGGCGUGCCUAAUACAUGCAAGUCGAGCGAAGAGGGGGCGGGUGAGUAACACGUGGAUAACCUCCUAUAAGACUGGGAUAACUUCGGGGAACCGGUGCUAAACCGGCUACUUAUCGAUGGAUGCGCACUGCAUUAGCUAGUUGGUAGGGUAACGGCUUACCAAGGCAACGAUGCAUAGCCGAUCUGAGAGGGUGACCGGCCACACUGGAACUGAGACACGGUCCAGACUCCUACGGGAGGCAGCAGUAGGGAAUAUUGCGCAAUGGGCGAAAGCCUGACGGAGCAACGCCGCGUGAGUGAUGAAGGUCUUCGGAUUGUAAAGCUCUGUUAGUAGGGAGGCGUUACCUAAUCAGAAAGCAACGGCUAACUACGUGCCAGCAGCCGCGGUAAUUC